UACGUAGGGGGCGAGCGUUGUUCGGAAUUACUGGGCGUAAAGGGCGCGCAGGCGGUCCUUCAAGUCAGAUGUGAAAGCCCCGGGCUCAACCUGGGAACUGCAUUUGAGACUGGAUGGCUAGAGUGCGGGAGAGGAGAGUGGAAUUCCCGGUGUAGCGGUGAAAUGCGCAGAUAUCGGGAAGAACACCCGUGGCGAAGGCGGCUCUCUGGAACGCAACUGACGCUGAGACGCGAAAGCGUGGGGAGCGAACAGG
RNAcentral lists this ribosomal RNA (253 nucleotides) under uncultured bacterium. Its description in RNAcentral is "partial 16S ribosomal RNA". It matches the Rfam family "Bacterial small subunit ribosomal RNA", at positions 524 to 776 of the family's 1533-position model. The record is from RNAcentral.